RNAcentral lists this unclassified non-coding RNA (289 nucleotides) under uncultured fungus. Its description in RNAcentral is "partial contains 5.8S rRNA, ITS2 and 28S rRNA". It matches the Rfam family "Eukaryotic large subunit ribosomal RNA", at positions 668 to 961 of the family's 3401-position model. The record is from RNAcentral. Lineage: Eukaryota; Fungi.
AAGGAGUCUAACAUAUCUGCGAGUAUUUGGGUGUCAAACCCGAGUGCGCAAUGAAAGCGAACGUAGGAGCCACGCGCAAGCUGCAGCUUCGACCGAUCUGGAUCUUUAGUGAUGGAUUUGAGUAAGAGCAUAUAUGUUGGGACCCGAAAGAUGGUGAACCAUGCCUGAAUAGGGCGAAGCCAGAGGAAACUCUGGUGGAGGCUCGUAGCGAUUCUGACGUGCAAAUCGAUUGUCGAAUUUGGGUAUAGGGGGGAAGGACUAAUCGAACCAUCUAGUAGCUGGUUCCUGC